This 960-nucleotide long non-coding RNA is filed under the name Papio anubis (olive baboon). RNAcentral describes it as "lncRNA (ENSPANG00000045828.1)". Lineage: Eukaryota; Metazoa; Chordata; Mammalia; Primates; Cercopithecidae. The record is from RNAcentral.
ACAUACCAAUAGUAUUAGGAUGCUUUUUGCUGCAUAACAGAAAACACGAAUAACCUCUUAUUGUAUAUUUUUCUUAUAUAACAAGAACUCUAGAGGGAGGAGCUCUAGAGUUGGUCAGGGAUAAAUGAUGUCAAGGGGCAGAUUAUCUAGGAUUCUUUUAGCAUUCUGUGUGGGUAGAAGCAUUAAUGCUGUUGUUGUCAUAGCCAUAUCCUUAUGGUAGCAUAUGAAGCAGAAAAGAGGCAGGAAAAAUAACUCUCCUUGUGUGACAUUCUCUUUUUAUUUGGAGAGAAAUAACUGCAUUUCAGAGUUAAUGGGAUCUGAACCUAAUACAAUUUUAGGAUCUUCUUUAAGAAAAGCAGAAAAAUAUUAAAAUUAAAAACGGGGCACAGGGCUUUGACUGGAGUCAUUGUGAGUGUUGGCCUCUAAACUUCCUGGUAAAUCAAGCCUCUGUUGAAUUUCUUUUGUUUCAGUGGUUGGACUGAGUCCCAUGAAGCCAGAUAACUUCUGACUGCAAGGAGCUUGGAAAAGCAAGUAUCUGGAUCUUUUACCAGCUAAAUUUGGAGAUAGGUAUCUACCAGACUGGGGAAGAAGAGGAGAAGAAUGGCUGUUGAGUGCAGAUCAAUUUGUUUCCACUGAAGUCUAUGGAUGAAAUAUUUACGCAUAGCCGAGAAUUAUUGAUCAAAUUUGGAUCUCUGUGUGCUGUCCUCCAAUUUAAUACCUUCUCUGUUGCUGUUUUGUUUUCUUUCUUCUGGAACGUGGCAGAGUGCUUCAAGGUGGGUGGCAGAUGUCUGACUCAAUCUUCUACAUUAAUAGGUUUUCUCUGUAUUGUUAUAAUUAAUUUUAAAUUGAUUUUAUAAAAUUUAUAAUUAUAGGAUUUUUUUUCAUGUUCAAUUCCAUUUAAAUUUUUUCCUAUUUGCCCAUUCUUCUUUUUUCUUAUCACUUUGAAUAUACUGGUCUCAC